GCCGGGUGCAGUCAUGCACACCUGUAAUCCCAGUUGCUUGGGAGGCUAAGGCAGGAGGAUCAUGAGUUCAAGGCCAGUAUCUGCAAAAAACUGAGGUGCUAAGCAACUCAGUGAGACCCUGUCUCUA
RNAcentral lists this small RNA (127 nucleotides) under Marmota monax (woodchuck). Lineage: Eukaryota; Metazoa; Chordata; Mammalia; Rodentia; Sciuridae. The record is from RNAcentral.